This 412-nucleotide ribosomal RNA is filed under the name Bacillota bacterium. RNAcentral's name for it is "Firmicutes bacterium partial 16S ribosomal RNA". It matches the Rfam family "Bacterial small subunit ribosomal RNA", at positions 355 to 776 of the family's 1533-position model. Lineage: Bacteria; Bacillati; Bacillota. The record is from RNAcentral.
UGGGGAAUCUUGCACAAAGGGCGGAAGCCUGAUGCAGCGACGCCGCGUGGGGGAUGACGGCCUUCGGGUUGUAAACUCCUUUCGCCAGGGACGAAGCCGUGAGGUGACGGUACCUGGAUAAGAAGCACCGGCUAACUACGUGCCAGCAGCCGCGGUAAUACGUAGGGUGCGAGCGUUGUCCGGAAUUACUGGGCGUAAAGAGCUCGUAGGUGGUUUGUCGCGUCGUCUGUGAAAUUCCGGGGCUUAACUCCGGGCGUGCAGGCGAUACGGGCAUAACUUGAGUGCUGUAGGGGAGACUGGAAUUCCUGGUGUAGCGGUGAAAUGCGCAGAUAUCAGGAGGAACACCGAUGGCGAAGGCAGGUCUCUGGGCAGUAACUGACGCUGAGGAGCGAAAGCAUGGGUAGCGAACAGG